This 72-nucleotide transfer RNA is filed under the name Ictidomys tridecemlineatus (thirteen-lined ground squirrel). RNAcentral describes it as "Spermophilus tridecemlineatus (thirteen-lined ground squirrel) tRNA". It matches the Rfam family "tRNA". From Rfam's summary of the family: Transfer RNA (tRNA) molecules are approximately 80 nucleotides in length. The record is from Rfam by way of RNAcentral. Lineage: Eukaryota; Metazoa; Chordata; Mammalia; Rodentia; Sciuridae.
UGGGUUGUGGCUCAGUGGUACAGCGCUCACCUAGCACAUGAGAGGCACUGUGUUCAAUCCUCAGCACCCUAU